This 457-nucleotide ribosomal RNA is filed under the name uncultured bacterium. RNAcentral describes it as "bacterial SSU rRNA". It matches the Rfam family "Bacterial small subunit ribosomal RNA", at positions 26 to 507 of the family's 1533-position model. The record is from RNAcentral.
CCGUCGGCUACGAAGAACGACGCUGGGCGGCAUGCCUAACACAUGCAAGUCGAACGGGAUCCUAGCUUGCUAGGUGAGAGUGGCGGACGGGUGAGUAACACGGUGGGAAUCUGCCUUUUGGUUCGGGAUAACCGCGGGAAACUGCGGCUAAUACCGAAUGCCCUCGAGAGAGGAAAGAUUUAUCGCCAGAAGAGGAGCCCGCGUCCGAUUAGGUAGUUGGUGGGGUAAAGGCCUACCAAGCCGACGAUCGGUAGCUGGUCUGAGAGGAUGAUCAGCCACACUGGGACUGAGAUACGGCCCAGACUCCUACGGGAGGCAGCAGUGGGGAAUAUUGGACAAUGGGGGCAACCCUGAUCCAGCAAUGCCGCGUGAGUGAUGAAGGCCUUAGGGUUGUAAAGCUCUUUUGCCAGGGAAGAUGAUGACUGUACCUGGAGAAUAAGCCCCGGCUAACUUCGUG